This 301-nucleotide ribosomal RNA is filed under the name uncultured bacterium. RNAcentral describes it as "partial 16S ribosomal RNA". It matches the Rfam family "Bacterial small subunit ribosomal RNA", at positions 509 to 808 of the family's 1533-position model. The record is from RNAcentral.
CAGCCGCCGCGGUAAUACGUAGGUGGCAAGCGUUGUCCGGAUUUAUUGGGCGUAAAGCGAGCGCAGGCGGUUAGAUAAGUCUGAAGUUAAAGGCUGUGGCUUAACCACAGUACGCUUUGGAAACUGUUUAACUUGAGUGCAGAAGGGGAGUGUGGAAUUCCAUGUGUAGCGGUGAAAUGCGUAGAUAUAUGGAGGAACACCGGUGGCGAAAGCGGCUCUCUGGUCUGUCACUGACGCUGAGGCUCGAAAGCGUGGGUAGCGAACAGGAUUAGAUACCCCAGUAGUCCCUGUCUCUUAUACC